AAAGCCGAAACAAGCAUUCUUGAAAAAAAAUUCUACAAACACUUGGAAGAUCAACAAGCAAAGACAACAAGGAAGUGCACUAACCAAAAAGAGGAUCAACAAAGGGAGUUCUCUUAUUUCCUUUGCAACUUGGUUUAUUGUUAAUUACCUUUUUAAUUACGUUUUAGAUGGUGAGUGUGUCUUCAAGGGCUCUAAGUGUCCAAGAAGCCUCACCUAGGGCCGAAU
RNAcentral lists this long non-coding RNA (225 nucleotides) under Phaseolus vulgaris (common bean). RNAcentral describes it as "long non-coding RNA (PVUL_LNC000974)". The record is from RNAcentral. Lineage: Eukaryota; Viridiplantae; Streptophyta; Magnoliopsida; Fabales; Fabaceae.